GACGAACGCUGGCGGCGUGCUUAACACAUGCAAGUCGAACGAUGAAGAAAAGACUUGAAGCUUCGGCAGAAAUUCAUUUCGGAUUAGUGGCAGACGGGUGAGUAACGCGUGAGCAACCUACCUCUUACAAAGGGAUAGCCUCGGGAAACCGGGAUUAAUACCAUAUAACAUUGCGACGAAGCAUUUCGAUGCAAUCAAAGCUACGGCGGGAAGAGAUGGGCUCGCGUCCCAUUAACCAGAUGGUGAGGUAACGGCUCACCAUAGUAACGAUGGGUAACCGGCCUGAGAGGGUGAACGGUCACACUGGAACUGAGACACGGUCCAGACUCCUACGGGAGGCAGCAGUGGGGAAUAUUGCACAAUGGAGGGAACUCUGAUGCAGCGACGCCGCGUGAGUGAUGAAGGAAUUCGUUUCGUAAAACUCUGUUCUAUGGGAAGAAAAGGACUGUACCAUAGGAGAAAGCUCCGGCUAAAUACGUG
Molecule: ribosomal RNA, 480 nt
Filed under: uncultured bacterium
Lineage: Bacteria
Description: partial 16S ribosomal RNA
Rfam family: Bacterial small subunit ribosomal RNA
Source: RNAcentral